CCUACGGGAGGCAGCAGUGAGGAAUAUUGGUCAAUGGACGAGAGUCUGAACCAGCCAAGUAGCGUGAAGGAUGACUGCCCUAUGGGUUGUAAACUUCUUUUAUAUGGGAAUAAUAUGUUCCACGUGUGGGAUUUUGUAUGUACCAUAUGAAUAAGGAUCGGCUAACUCCGUGCCAGCAGCCGCGGUAAUACGGAGGAUCCGACCGUUAUCCGGAUUUAUUGGGUUUAAAGGGAGCGUAGGUGGAUUGUUAAGUCAGUUGUGAAAGUUUGCGGCUCAACCGUAAAAUUGCAGUUGAAACUGGCAGUCUUGAGUACAGUAGAGGUGGGCGGAAUUCGUGGUGUAGCGGUGAAAUGCUUAGAUAUCACGAAGAACUCCGAUUGCGAAGGCAGUUCACUGGACUGCAACUGACACUGAGGCUCGAAAGUGUGGGUAUCAAACAGGAUUAGAUACCCUAGUAGUC
This 460-nucleotide ribosomal RNA is filed under the name uncultured bacterium. RNAcentral's name for it is "partial 16S ribosomal RNA". It matches the Rfam family "Bacterial small subunit ribosomal RNA", at positions 338 to 795 of the family's 1533-position model. The record is from RNAcentral.